RNAcentral lists this ribosomal RNA (273 nucleotides) under uncultured Paeniglutamicibacter sp. RNAcentral describes it as "partial 16S ribosomal RNA". It matches the Rfam family "Bacterial small subunit ribosomal RNA", at positions 524 to 796 of the family's 1533-position model. The record is from RNAcentral. Lineage: Bacteria; Bacillati; Actinomycetota; Actinomycetes; Micrococcales; Micrococcaceae.
UACGUAGGGCGCAAGCGUUAUCCGGAAUUAUUGGGCGUAAAGAGCUCGUAGGCGGUUUGUCGCGUCUAUCGUGAAAGUCCGAGGCUCAACUUCGGAUCUGCGGUGGGUACGGGCAGACUAGAGUGAUGUAGGGGAGACUGGAAUUCCUGGUGUAGCGGUGAAAUGCGCAGAUAUCAGGAGGAACACCGAUGGCGAAGGCAGGUCUCUGGGCAUUAACUGACGCUGAGGAGCGAAAGCAUGGGGAGCGAACAGGAUUAGAAACCCCCGUAGUCC